GGGGGACAGCACCCUAUACAUCAUGGUUUAUAUUCAAAUUCCAAAGAACCGAUAUGGGACAAUUCAUUACAUGUGAGGAGGGGGGAGGGGGAGAAAUAAUAGAGAGGAGGGAGGGGGGAAGAAAACGUCUUGGAGAAAACCAAUGGAAGAACACGACGGCGACGGCGGCGUCAUAAAUACAUAUUUUCUUCACAGGGACCCGGACGAGCAGGAAAGACCCAAAAUACACAGAGAGGAGAGAGAAAGAAUGGCAAAUCGAGGGACACGGGGAUACUUGUACAGGCCUUGGGGCGAUCAUGCCGCUCCCUCGGUCGGCUUCGCCGGCUCUGGGGCCGCCGGCGGAGCGGCGGCGGUCUUCUCCUCGACGACCGGAGGAGCCUCAGGAGGCGCAGGGGUCUCGGUUUCUACCUUCUUCUCCUCUUCCGUAGACACCACCACCUCCUUAUCCUUGCUGGUGCCCUCCUCCGCCGGCGCUGCGGGCGCUUCUUCUGUGGUGGCGGCGACCUCUGGCUCCGCCGCCUUGGGCUCCUCCGCCGGGAGGAAGACGGCAGCCUUCUCGAACACGAAGAAGACGGGGCCGGUGACGAGGGCAGGCCCGAACUUGGUGGAAGCCUCACUGACAGCCUUGGCCCCGGGGAACUCUGCAGAUUACAACGUCCACCACCGGAAAACGUUAACAGGACGUUAACAGGAGACCCCUUCCAACCCAUCGCAAUUUCGAUUCUUACCUAUUUUAACCAGCUCCUCCAGGAACUUGUUGACGCCUGCCGCGUGCUUCUUCACCCCGGCCUCCGUAGGCUCCUUCACCAGAGUCUGCGGGGAGACGAAGGGAAACAUAUCUCAAUACUCAGGCAUACUACCACAGCUUUCGUUAAUUAAUCCGCCCAUGCUCCUGUUCCUCCAGAGAUUGAUCCAGAGUAGGUAGUAGAGACGCGUCUGUGGAAGAAAGAGGGAGAGAGGGAGAGCGAGAGAGAGAAGCGGCGAACCUUGAUCUCGGUCGAGGUGGUUCCAUAGAUCUCGAUCACCUUGGGCUCCAGCUCCGUCUUCUUCUCGUCAUACUCCUUGGUUAUCUCUUCCUGCACAGCAGAGGAAGUGAGUAGAAAUCACCAAAAAAUAGACACAAAGCACCACUUUUUCACACGAGAAGAUCCCCACCUUGGAGUCGUCGAAGGCCUUGGUGGCCUCGGCGGCGGCGGCCUUCUUGGAGCUGCCCUUAUCGAAGACCUUCUUGAUCUUCGGGAGCAACUUCGACUUCCAGUAACCCAUCUCUCCGUCCGUCCGACCCUCUGCACCAGAAAAAAUCCCUGGUUCAGCCAAAAUCCCAACCCGACUACGCCCUUCUGUCGACAACGCAGAGCAAAAGGGGAAGAGAUAGAGAGAGAGGGCACGUACGAGGCAGGAAGACAAGGAUGCGGGCACGGGGGCUCGUGCUCUCUUCUAGUUCUCUCUCCUCUCCUCC
Molecule: long non-coding RNA, 1459 nt
Filed under: Spirodela polyrhiza (greater duckweed)
Lineage: Eukaryota; Viridiplantae; Streptophyta; Magnoliopsida; Alismatales; Araceae
Description: long non-coding RNA (SPOL_LNC001685)
Source: RNAcentral